CCUACGGGGGGCUGCAGUAAGGAAUAUUGGUCAAUGGAGGGAACUCUGAACCAGCCAUCCCGCGUGCAGGAUGAAGGGGCUCUGCCCUGUAAACUGCUUUUGAAUGGGACGAAAAAGCCUCACUUGUGAGGAACUGACGGUACCAUUAGAAUAAGCACCGGCUAACUCCGUGCCAGCAGCCGCGGUAAUACGGAGGGUGCAAGCGUUAUCCGGAAUCACUGGGUUUAAAGGGUGCGUAGGCGGUUGUAUAAGUCAGUGGUGAAAGGCCGUAGCUUAACUAUGGGAUUGCCAUUGAUACUGUAUGACUUGAAUGAGGUUGAGGUUGGCGGAAUGUGGCAUGUAGCGGUGAAAUGCUUAGAUAUGCCAUGGAACAUCGAUUGCGAAGGCAGCUGACUGGACCUGAAUUGACGCUGAGGCACGAAAGCGUGGGGAGCGAACAGGCUUAGAUACCCCGGUAGUC
RNAcentral lists this ribosomal RNA (460 nucleotides) under uncultured Sphingobacteriales bacterium. RNAcentral describes it as "bacterial SSU rRNA". It matches the Rfam family "Bacterial small subunit ribosomal RNA", at positions 338 to 795 of the family's 1533-position model. Lineage: Bacteria; Pseudomonadati; Bacteroidota; Sphingobacteriia; Sphingobacteriales. The record is from RNAcentral.